RNAcentral lists this ribosomal RNA (468 nucleotides) under uncultured bacterium. RNAcentral's name for it is "partial 16S ribosomal RNA". It matches the Rfam family "Bacterial small subunit ribosomal RNA", at positions 28 to 507 of the family's 1533-position model. The record is from RNAcentral.
GACGAACGCUGGCGGCGUGCUUAACACAUGCAAGUCGAACGGAAAGGCCCUGCUUUUGUGGGGUUCUCGAGUGGCGAACGGGUGAGUAACACGUGAGUAACCUGCCCUUGACUUUGGGAUAACUUCAGGAAACUGGGGCUAAUACCGGAUAGGAGCUCCUGCUGCAUGGUGGGGGUUGGAAAGUUUCGGCGGUUGGGGAUGGACUCGCGGCUUAUCAGCUUGUUGGUGGGGUAGUGGCUUACCAAGGCUUUGACGGGUAGCCGGCCUGAGAGGGUGACCGGCCACAUUGGGACUGAGAUACGGCCCAGACUCCUACGGGAGGCAGCAGUGGGGAAUAUUGCACAAUGGGCGGAAGCCUGAUGCAGCAACGCCGCGUGCGGGAUGACGGCCUUCGGGUUGUAAACCGCUUUCGCCUGUGCCGAAGCGUGAGUGACGGUAAUGGGUAAAGAAGCACCGGCUAACUACGUG